UGAGCAAUCUGCCCUUCUCAUCGGAAUAAGCGUUGGAAACGACGUCUAAUGCCGAAUACGACCUCCUUUCGCAUGAUCGGAGGUGGAAAGCUCCGGCGGAGAAGGAUGAGCUCGCGGCCUAUCAGCUAGUUGGUGAGGUAAUGGCUCACCAAGGCAUUGACGGGUAGCCGGCCUGAGAGGGUGACCCGGCCACACGUGGGACUGAGACACGGCCCAGACCUCGUACGGGGAGG
Molecule: ribosomal RNA, 233 nt
Filed under: uncultured bacterium
Lineage: Bacteria
Description: partial 16S ribosomal RNA
Rfam family: Bacterial small subunit ribosomal RNA
Source: RNAcentral